UACGUAGGGGGCAAGCGUUGUCCGGAUUUAUUGGGCGUAAAGAGCGUGUAGGCGGCCAGACAGGUCUGCUGUGAAAACUCGAGGCUCAACCUCGAGACGCCGGUGGAAACCGUCUGGCUAGAGUCCGGAAGAGGAGAGUGGAAUUCCUGGUGUAGCGGUGAAAUGCGCAGAUAUCAGGAAGAACACCCGUGGCGAAGGCGGCUCUCUGGGACGGUACUGACGCUGAGACGCGAAAGCGUGGGGAGCGAACAGG
This 253-nucleotide ribosomal RNA is filed under the name uncultured bacterium. RNAcentral's name for it is "partial 16S ribosomal RNA". It matches the Rfam family "Bacterial small subunit ribosomal RNA", at positions 524 to 776 of the family's 1533-position model. The record is from RNAcentral.